This 43-nucleotide transfer RNA is filed under the name Escherichia coli 7-233-03_S1_C2. RNAcentral describes it as "partial tRNA-Lys". Lineage: Bacteria; Pseudomonadati; Pseudomonadota; Gammaproteobacteria; Enterobacterales; Enterobacteriaceae. The record is from RNAcentral.
GGGUCGUUAGCUCAGUUGGUAGAGAAGUUGACUUUUAAUCAAU